Molecule: ribosomal RNA, 577 nt
Filed under: uncultured bacterium
Lineage: Bacteria
Description: bacterial SSU rRNA
Rfam family: Bacterial small subunit ribosomal RNA
Source: RNAcentral
CCUACGGGAGGCAGCAGUAAGGAAUAUUGGACAAUGGACGCAAGUCUGAUCCAGCCAUGCCGCGUGAAGGAUUAAGGCCCUCUGGGUUGUAAACUUCUUUUAUAGGGGACGAAAAAAGGGCUUUCUAGCUCGACUGACGGUACCCUAUGAAUAAGCACCGGCUAACUCCGUGCCAGCAGCCGCGGUAAUACGGAGGGUGCAAGCGUUAUCCGGAUUCACUGGGUUUAAAGGGUGCGUAGGCGGGCAUUUAAGUCAGUGGUGAAAUCUUCGAGCUCAACUCGGAAACUGCCAUUGAUACUAUUUGUCUUGAAUAUUGUGGAGGUGAGCGGAAUAUGUCAUGUAGCGGUGAAAUGCUUAGAUAUGACAUAGAACACCGAUUGCGAAGGCAGCUCGCUACACAAAUAUUGACGCUGAGGCACGAAAGCGUGGGGAUCAAACAGGAUUAGAUACCCUGGUAGUCCACGCCCUAAACUAUGGAUACUCGACAUUUGCGAUACACAGUAAGUGUCUGAGCGAAAGCAUUAAGUAUCCCACCUGGAAGUACGACCGCAAGGUUGAAACUCAAAGGAAUUGACGG